This 207-nucleotide ribosomal RNA is filed under the name uncultured bacterium. RNAcentral describes it as "partial 16S ribosomal RNA". It matches the Rfam family "Bacterial small subunit ribosomal RNA", at positions 1294 to 1500 of the family's 1533-position model. The record is from RNAcentral.
CGGAUUGUAGUCUGCAACCCGACUACAUGAAGCUGGAAUCGCUAGUAAUCGCGGAUCAGAAUGCCGCGGUGAAUACGUUCCCGGGUCUUGUACACACCGCCCGUCACACCAUGGGAGUCGGAAAUGCCCGAAGUCUGUGACCUAACCGAGAGGGAGGAGCAGCCGAAGGCAGGUCUGAUGACUGGGGUGAAGUCGUAACAAGGUACC